Molecule: ribosomal RNA, 433 nt
Filed under: uncultured bacterium
Lineage: Bacteria
Description: partial 16S ribosomal RNA
Rfam family: Bacterial small subunit ribosomal RNA
Source: RNAcentral
AACGAACGCUGGCGGCAUGCCUAACACGUGCAAGUCGAACGAUCCCUUCGGGGAUAGUGGCGCACGGGUGCGUAACGCGUGGGAACCUGCCCUUAGGUUCGGAAUAACUCAGAGAAAUUUGAGCUAAUACCGGAUAAUGUCUUCGGACCAAAGAUUUAUCGCCUUUGGAUGGGCCCGCGUUGGAUUAGCUAGUUGGUGGGGUAAAGGCCUACCAAGGCGACGAUCCAUAGCUGGUCUGAGAGGAUGAUCAGCCACACUGGGACUGAGACACGGCCCAGACUCCUACGGGAGGCAGCAGUGGGGAAUAUUGGACAAUGGGCGAAAGCCUGAUCCAGCAAUGCCGCGUGAGUGAUGAAGGCCUUAGGGUUGUAAAGCUCUCUUACCCGGGAUGAUAAUGACAGUACCGGGAGAAUAAGCCCCGGCUAACUCCGUG